Molecule: ribosomal RNA, 957 nt
Filed under: uncultured bacterium
Lineage: Bacteria
Description: bacterial SSU rRNA
Rfam family: Bacterial small subunit ribosomal RNA
Source: RNAcentral
GUCGAACGGUCUCUAGCAAUAGAGAUAGUGGCGCACGGGUGCGUAACGCGUAACCAACCUACCCGAAUCUGGGGGAUAGCCCGCCGAAAGGCGGAUUAAUACCGCAUAAAACGGCAGACCGGCAUCGGUUCACCGUUAAAGAUUUAUUGGAUUCGGAUGGGGUUGCGUGCCAUUAGCUAGUUGGCGGGGUAACGGCCCACCAAGGCGACGAUGGCUAGGGGAGCUGAGAGGCUGGUCCCCCACACGGGCACUGAGAUACGGGCCCGACUCCUACGGGAGGCAGCAGUAGGGAAUAUUGGGCAAUGGCCGAGAGACUGACCCAGCCAUGCCGCGUGCAGGAUGAAGGCUUUCUGAGUCGUAAACUGCUUUUACCAGGGAAGAAAAAAGGGGAUGCGUCCUCUACUGACGGUACCUGGUGAAUAAGCACCGGCUAACUCCGUGCCAGCAGCCGCGGUAAUACGGAGGGUGCAAGCGUUGUCCGGAUUUAUUGGGUUUAAAGGGUGCGUAGGCGGCUUUUUAAGUCCGGGGUGAAAGCCCGUUGCUCAACAACGGAACUGCCCCGGAAACUGGAGAGCUUGAGUACAGACGAGGGUGGCGGAAUGGACGGUGUAGCGGUGAAAUGCAUAGAUACCGUCCAGAACCCCGAUUGCGAAGGCAGCUGCCUAGACUGUAACUGACGCUGAGGCACGAAAGCGUGGGGAGCGAACAGGAUUAGAUACCCUGGUAGUCCACGCCGUAAACGAUGGAUACUCGCUGCGGGCGAUAGACGGUCCGUGGCUUAGCGAAAGCGUUAAGUAUCCCACCUGGGGAGUACGCUCGCAAGAGUGAAACUCAAAAGAAUUGACGGGGGCCCGCACAAGUGGUGGAGCAUGUGGUUUAAUUCGAUGAUACGCGAGGAACCUUACCUAGGCUAGAAUGCGCGUGACCGGUCCAGAGAUGGACCUUUCCUUCGGGGCA